UGAAUAAAUGAAGACCAAUAUUGGCAUAUGAUUCCUGCACCAUGAUUGUAGCUCUGGGAGACACAGAGGUCCAU
Small nucleolar RNA from Meriones unguiculatus (Mongolian gerbil), 74 nucleotides. RefSeq annotates it as small nucleolar RNA SNORD113/SNORD114 family. The transcript has a single exon. NCBI's taxonomy places the organism in Eukaryota, Metazoa, Chordata, Mammalia, Rodentia, Muridae. The record is from RefSeq and is a predicted model, not a curated record.